RNAcentral lists this ribosomal RNA (484 nucleotides) under uncultured bacterium. Its description in RNAcentral is "bacterial SSU rRNA". It matches the Rfam family "Bacterial small subunit ribosomal RNA", at positions 40 to 518 of the family's 1533-position model. The record is from RNAcentral.
CGGCGUGCCUAACACAUGCAAGUCGAACGGAAACUAGCGCUUCGGAGACUUCGGUCAAUGUUUGCUUGGUUUUAGUGGCGGACGGGUGAGUAACGCGUGGAUAACCUGCCUCAUACAGGGGGAUAACAGUUUAGAAAUGACUGCUAAUACCGCAUAAGCGCACAGUUUUCGCAUGGAACAGUGUGAAAAACUCCGGUGGUAUGAGAUGGAUCCGCGUCUGAUUAGCUAGUUGGCGGGGUAACAGCCCACCAAGGCGACGAUCAGUAGCCGGCCUGAGAGGGUGAACGGCCACAUUUGGGACUGAGACACGGCCCAAACUCCUACGGGAGGCAGCAGUGGGGGAUAUUGCACAAUGGGGGAAACCCUGAUGCAGCGAACCGCCGCGUGAGUGAAGAAGUAUUUCGGUAUGUAAAGCUCUAUCAGCAGGGAAGAUAAUGACGGUACCUGACUAAGAAGCACCGGCUAAAUACGUGCCAGCCGCUGC